GAGAUUGAGUCUUGCUCUGUUGCCCAGGCUAGAGUGCACCUGGGCAACAAGAGUGAAACUCUGUCUCAAAAAUAAUAAUAAUAAUAAUAAUUAUUAUUAUUAUUAUUAUUAUUAUUAGUCAGAUGACCAUACCUAGCUGUAAGAGGAGCUGGGAAACCUAAUCUUUUUCCUGGGUGACAAUGUGCCCAGCUAAAUAUUGGGAUUUCUAUUAGUAUGGAAGGAUUUGAGAUAAUAGGAACAUGGAUAGCAAUCUUUGCCACAUUCUGCCUGCAGGAGAAAAUCAGGAAAUUAAUUUUCAUGAUUCCUAAACAUGUAGAGCCUUCCACCAGAUUGUGGCAUUUUCUCUUUAGCUGCUGGUCAUUAGGAAGCACCUCUGCAAUCUAUAAAUGAUGGGCUGGUUCCUGUCAGCUAAAUCUCUGCCUGAAAUACAAGAUGAUCAGGGAAAGGUUCCUAGGUACCUUGCUGGUCUUGCUCAAACCGAACACAUGCAUAAGUUACAGUGGAGGUUAAUGCAGAUCUUUAACUGAGAGAUCAAGUAGUUGUCACAAAUACCAUAGAGCAACACAGAGAAGCAGAAUAUAGU
Molecule: long non-coding RNA, 583 nt
Filed under: Homo sapiens (human)
Lineage: Eukaryota; Metazoa; Chordata; Mammalia; Primates; Hominidae
Description: HSALNT0089245
Source: RNAcentral